Molecule: long non-coding RNA, 3525 nt
Filed under: Homo sapiens (human)
Lineage: Eukaryota; Metazoa; Chordata; Mammalia; Primates; Hominidae
Description: NK cell activity associated lncRNA 1 (NCAL1)
Source: RNAcentral
GUGUACAUCAUUGGGAAUGGAGGGAAAUAAAUGACUGGAUGGUCGCUGCUUUUUAAGUUUCAAAUUGACAUUCCAGACAAGCGGUGCCUGAGCCCGUGCCUGUCUUCAGAUCUUCACAGCACAGUUCCUGGGAAGGUGGAGCCACCAGCCUCUCCUUGGCUCUGCCGACUUCCAGUUCUGGAACAAGAUGGUUAAACUCAUUUUUCCCUGCUCUGCUCCUCUAAAUACAACUAAGUACCUUGGAAACUAUUCAGCAGACAAUGAUAAAGGGCUCUGAAAGCUAGAAGAAAAGGUGUACUUGCAAGAAACCUCAGGACUUGAGUAACAGCAACAUGUUUGACUUUGAAGGAUCACUUUCCCCUGUCAUUGCGCCCAAAAAAGCCUUCCGAGACUGGAUCUGAUGAUGACUGGGAAUAUUUACUAAAUUCAGACUACCACCAGAGUGUUGAGUCUCAUCUUUUGAACAGAUCUUUAUGUCUGAGUCCUUCAGAAGCUUCACAGAUGAAGGAUGAGGAUUUUUCACAGAAUCUCAGUCUGGAUUCUUCUACACUUCUCUUUACUCACAUACCUGCAAUUUUUUUCGUUCUUCGCCUUGUGUAUGAGGAGCUUAAGUUGAAUACUCUAAUGGGAGAAGGAAUUUGUUCACUCUUGAACUUCUCGUUCAGUUGGCAAGGUCAAACAGGAUUUAUGCAUCAUCCAUCAUUUUUUACGUCUGAGCCACCAAGUAUUUAUCAGUGGGUGAGUUCUUGUCUGAAGGGCGAAGGAAUGCCGCCUUAUCCUUACCUCCCUGGAAUCUGUGAAAGAAGCAGACUUGUAGUCUUGAGUAUUGCACUGUACAUACUUGGUGAUGAGAGCUCAGUUUCUGAUGAAUCCUCACAGUAUUUAACCAGAAUAACUGUAGCCCCCCAGAAGUUGCAAGCAGAACAAGAGGAAAACAGGUUUAGUUUCAGGCAUUCUACGUCUGUUUCUAGUCUAGCUGAAAGAUUGGUUGGCUGGAUGACUAAUGUAGGAUUCACUUUAAGAGAUUUGGAAACUCUUCCCUUUGGAAUUGCUCUUCCCAUCAGAGAUGCAAUUUAUCACUGUCGUGAGCAGCCUGCCUCAGACUGGCCAGAAGCUGUCUGUCUCUUGACUGGACGUCAGGAUCUUUCCAAGCAGGCCUGCGAAGGAAACUUACCCAAAGGGAAGUCUGUACAGAAACUGAGGAGGAAGAUGACGGCAUGAAUGACAUGAAUCACGAGGUCAUGUCAUUAAUAUGGAGUGAAGAUUUAAGGGUGCAGGAUGUGCGAAGGCUUCUUCAGAGUGCGCAUCCUGUCCGUGUCAACGUAGUGCAGUACCCAGAGCUCAGUGACCACGAGUUCAUCGAGGAAAAGGAAAACAGAUUGCUCCAAUUGUGUCAGCGAACUAUGGCUCUUCCUGUAGGACGAGGAAUGUUUACCUUGUUUUCGUACCAUCCUGUUCCAACAGAGCCAUUGCCUAUUCCUAAAUUGAAUCUGACUGGGCGUGCCCCUCCUCGGAACACAACAGUAGACCUUAAUAGUGGAAACAUCGAUGUGCCUCCCAACAUGACAAGCUGGGCCAGCUUUCAUAAUGGUGUGGCUGCUGGCCUGAAGAUAGCUCCUGCCUCCCAGAUCGACUCAGCUUGGAUUGUUUACAAUAAGCCCAAGCAUGCUGAGUUGGCCAAUGAGUAUGCUGGCUUUCUCAUGGCUCUGGGUUUGAAUGGGCACCUUACCAAGCUGGCGACUCUCAAUAUCCAUGACUACUUGACCAAGGGCCAUGAAAUGACAAGCAUUGGACUGCUACUUGGUGUUUCUGCUGCAAAACUAGGCACCAUGGAUAUGUCUAUUACUCGGCUUCUUAGCAUUCGCAUUCCUGCUCUCUUACCCCCAACGUCCACAGAGCUGGAUGUUCCUCACAAUGUCCAAGUGGCUGCAGUGGUUGGCAUUGGCCUUGUAUAUCAAGGGACAGCUCACAGACAUACUGCAGAAGUCCUGUUGGCUGAGAUAGGACGGCCUCCUGGUCCUGAAAUGGAAUACUGCACUGACAGAAAGUCAUACUCCUUAGCUGCUGGCUUGGCCCUGGGCAUGGUCUGCUUGGGGCAUGGCAGCAAUUUGAUAGGUAUGUCUGAUCUCAAUGUGCCUGAGCAGCUCUAUCAGUACAUGGUUGGAGGACAUAGGCGCUUUCAAACAGGAAUGCAUAGGGAGAAACAUAAAUCACCAAGUUAUCAAAUCAAAGAAGGAGAUACCAUAAAUGUGGAUGUGACUUGUCCAGGUGCUACUCUAGCUUUGGCUAUGAUCUACUUAAAAACCAAUAACAGGCUACAGAGUGCGGUGGCGCCAGCACAGAACUCUGCUCAAUGUCCCUCUGUGCUUUCACGAUGCUGAUGGAUUAUGAAGUUUGUCAUCCAGGACCUGAAAGGGUUUUGUCUAUCAGCUGCACCCCUGGGUAGCGACACAACCUUGGGGAAGGCCUCAGCCCCAUCCCUCGUACAGCAGGAAUGAGAACAGCACUGCCUGUUGGGAAGCUUGAGGGAGGCUAUGGACGUGCAGCGCUUGGCAGAGGGUCUCGUCAUGGAAGGUUCCAGCAAAUGUCAAGGAGAGCCCCUGGAUGACUAUGUGAAUACCCAGGGGCCUUCACUGUUCAGUGUCACUAAGAAGCAGCUGGGGGCAGGAAGCAGAGAAGAAUGUGCAGCAAAAUGUGAAGAGGACAAAGAAUUCACCUGCAGGGCAUUCCAAUAUCACAGUAAAGAGCAACAAUGUGUGAUAAUGGCUGAAAACAGGAAGUCCUCCAUAAUCAUUAGGAUGAGAGAUGCAGUUUUAUUUGAAAAGUAAAUGUAUCUUUCAGAGUGCAAGACUGGGAAUGGAAAGAACUACAGAGGGACGAUGUCCAAAACAAAAAAUGGCAUCACCUGUCAAAAAUGGAGUUCCACUUCUCCCCGCAGACCUAGGGCUGCAAUCAAGAUGUUGGCAUGGCUGGGGUCUCAUCUGAAGGCUGGACUGGAGAAGAAUCUACUUCCAAACUUAUGUGGUAGUUGGAAGAAUUUAGUUCCUCAAGGCUGCUAAACUGAUGGCCUGUGUUCCUUGCCUCUGGGAUGGUAGCUUGCUUCAACAAAGUGUGCAAGCAGAGAAGACAGAGAGAGUCCGCUAGCAAGAUAGAAGCCACAAUCUCUUGUAAUCUAUCAUUUUUGCUGUAUGCUACUGGUUAAAAAUAACUCAUUAGGUUAGCCUACUGGCUCUCAGGGGGAAGAGAUUAUACAAAGGCAUGAAUUUCUGGAGGAGGGAAUGAGGGCAAAGAACUCUGAAAAGUUUCUCUUCCACAAUCUGAAGAACUUCUAGAAAGUAGAAGGAAGCAAUAUUGCUUAGGGAUGGACAACUUGGCACUGGUUAUGUGUUCCAAGUGAGGUAACCUUGUUCCCAGGAAUAAAGAGAACCAGAUGACUGUAAACAUUUCCCUAAACUGAAAUGCACUGUUGUAUGUUCACCUGAAAUGAAUGGUGUAAGCUGAAUAUGAGAUUUUUGACAAAAUAAA